AAAUUGAAGAGUUUGAUCAUGGCUCAGAUUGAACGCUGGCGGCAGGCCUAACACAUGCAAGUCGAACGGUAACAGGAAACAGC
This 83-nucleotide ribosomal RNA is filed under the name Escherichia coli. Its description in RNAcentral is "partial 16S ribosomal RNA". It matches the Rfam family "Bacterial small subunit ribosomal RNA", at positions 1 to 83 of the family's 1533-position model. The record is from RNAcentral. RNAcentral also lists the same sequence under 1 other name. Lineage: Bacteria; Pseudomonadati; Pseudomonadota; Gammaproteobacteria; Enterobacterales; Enterobacteriaceae.